AUUCCAGCUCCAAUAGCGUAUAUUUAAGUUGUUGCAGUUAAAAAGCUCGUAGUUGGAUUUCGGGCCCAGGUGACCGGUCCGCCGUUUCGGUGUGCACUGGUUAGCUCGGUCUUUCUGCCGGGGACACGCUCCGUCUUAAUUGCCGGACGUGGAGUCGGCGAUGUUACUUUGAAAAAAUUAGAGUGUUCAAAGCAGGCUUACGCUCUGAAUACUAUAGCAUGGAAUAACACGAUAGGACUCCGAGCCUAUUUUGUUGGUCUUCGGGACCGGAGUAAUGAUUAAGAGGGACAGUUGGGGGCAUUCGUAUUACGGUGUCAGAGGUGAAAUUCUUGGAUUUCCGUAAGACGAACUUCUGCGAAAGCAUUUGCCAAGGAUGUUUUCAUUG
RNAcentral lists this ribosomal RNA (385 nucleotides) under prasinophyte sp. RNAcentral describes it as "partial small subunit ribosomal RNA". It matches the Rfam family "Eukaryotic small subunit ribosomal RNA", at positions 582 to 975 of the family's 1831-position model. The record is from RNAcentral. Lineage: Eukaryota; Viridiplantae; Chlorophyta.